This is a long non-coding RNA of Hyaena hyaena (striped hyena), 406 nucleotides long. RefSeq lists it as uncharacterized. The record is from RefSeq and is a predicted model, not a curated record. NCBI's taxonomy places the organism in Eukaryota, Metazoa, Chordata, Mammalia, Carnivora, Hyaenidae. The transcript has 2 exons.
UCAGGAGAUCGUCAACAUUGGGAAUGGACAAUGGCCUUCUGUAACUUAAGGACGGGCUGGCGAGGCUGGGGAAGGCGGGCAGGCAAGGGAGGAUUUCCUUGCACAGAUGCCAAAGCAUAACACACCUACAUCUUGACCCUGGAAAAAUGAACUUAGCUAGGAAUCAAAUGAAGAAAGGGUACCUGCAUGAUUGGUAGGUCAUCUCCGGAGCCAGUAAUCUGCCACUGUCCUAGACUCUCUUCUCCUGCUUGGGUCCAUGUCCAGUCAGGAACAAGCCUGUUUCUUUCCAUCACCAUCGCCGUUGCUGUUGUCCCACCGCUUCAAGUUUGUCUCCUAAAUAGCUUCAUAACUUACCUUGCUGACUUCUGUGUUGCUACCAUCAAAUACACCCUCUGCUGUGACCAAA